This is a long non-coding RNA of Wyeomyia smithii (pitcher-plant mosquito), 348 nucleotides long. RefSeq lists it as uncharacterized. The record is from RefSeq and is a predicted model, not a curated record. Lineage: Eukaryota; Metazoa; Arthropoda; Insecta; Diptera; Culicidae. The transcript is spliced from 2 exons.
AAAUAUAACCGUUCGUAGUCAUCAAGCUCCGGUAUUUUUGAAAUAAGCUUGUUUAUUUCGUUAAAUAAAAGCGUAUUUGAGUGAAAAUGAUCACAGAAAUUGCUCGUGAUUUGGAGGCUCCGAAUUUCAUCUGUGAAAAUUAAAUGCACAUGUGGUCAGUCAAGGAUUUGUUCCCUCCAAGGCAAUCAAACUAGAAUCACCAUUUGUGGUAUUAUUUGAAAAGACGGCGUAAUUUUCGGUAUCAAUAUAUGCGCUACUGAUACAAAAAUUUCGAUAUAUGUGCGACAGGAAGAUAAUUGAGAGAAAACCGACUUUCUGGCUAAGAACAUGCACUUUUCGUUUUGUUUU